UUAAGAAAAUUGCUCCAACUAUUAGGUGGAAGACUAAGCUUGAAUAGCGAAGAAGAGCAUGGCAAGCUAUGAUAUUCCUUGGCGAGGUGCACGCAACCUUAGAACCAAGGGUUCUCGAAUUCGACUUCGAUUCGAAAGAAGAUCUGAGAAGAUAGCAUACGUGGAGAAUUGAAGCGUCUUAGUAUCCACAGGAAAAGAAAUCAAUAGAGAUACUGUUAUUAUCAGCGAGAGAAAGCAGUAGAGAACAAACCGAAUCUUUUAUAGAAAUAUAAAAGAAAUGUGGUGUUAUAAGACUUGCUUUUAUUCCUAAUUAAUUAUAAACAAGUUUUCUGGAAAGAAAUACCAAAGAGGGUGAUAGUCCCGUAAUUUAUAAUUGAAAGGAAGUGCAAGUAUCUUGAGUAUAGCUCAUUGGAUUUUGGGCUAGAAUUUGGGAGUCAUCAACUUCUAAUUCUAAAUAUAUUUCAAGUCUGAUAGCGUAAAAAGUACAGUGAUGGAACGUUGAAAAGAACUCUUAACCGAGAGUUAAAAGAGCCUGAAACCUAAUAGUGAUUGUAUGAUGCGGUUUUAAGGAAUUGCAUCGUACGUUUCGAAUAACGGACCAGGGAGUUUAUUUAAGUGGCGAGGUUAAUCUUAAAUCAGAGCAACCACAGCGAAAGCAAAAUUUUGCAGCUUGCGAGAAAAGAGAUAUGAAAAUGUCUUAAGUCACUUAGGUAUGACCCGAAACCGGUUGAUCUAAUCCUGAGCAAGGUGAAGUCUCUUUACAGAGAUGGAGGCCUUAAGAGGUUCUGUGAGAAAGCGUUCUUCUGACUUGGGAUUAGGGGCGAAAUACCAAUCGAAAUCGGUGAUAGCUGGUUCCUGCCGAAUUUGAUUUAAGUCAAGUCUUAGAGGAGAUAACUCAAAAGGUAGAGAUACUGAUUUAGAAUUUAGGAUGGGAAACUAUUCGGUUCUUCGUCAAACUCAGAAUUUUUGAGCAUCUAAGAAUCUAGGAAACGGGGGCGCGGGGUAAACUUGCGUUCCGAGAGGGGAACAACCCAAGACUAUAGUUAAGGUCCCUAAAACUAAUUAAGUGUUAAAGGUCGAAAUGUGUGUAUAAUCAUAGACAGCAGGGAGGUAGGCUUAGAAGCAGCCACCCUUUAAAGAAAGCGUAAUAGCUCACCUGUCAAGAUUAUAUGCCAUGUAAAUGGACGGGGCUAAAUUAGUUACCGAUACUAUAGAUAUCUGAAAAGAUAAUGGUAGGCAGGCGUUCUCUUUGGGUAGAACUUUUUUUGUGAAAAAAAAGGGACCAAAAAGAAAUGAAAAUCCUGGUGGUAGUACGGAGCAAAACAAAGUAAGAAUCUUUGGUACCGAAAGGGCAAGGGUUUCUCAGCAAUGCAAAUCAGCUGAGAGUAAGUCGAUCCUAACCAUAACCUAAAUGGAAAAAUGGGAAAGGGAAAAAGGUUAAAAUUCCUUUACUAAUUAGAUACGACUUGGCAACAAUAGAUUGAUUUCUAAAACUUUUGGUUAGAUCAAUAUUUCUCGUCUGGAAUAUUAAUUAAAACAAAUCAAGGGAGUAUUGUAAUGAUGAGAACUUGAUUAAUUUUAAGGAGCAAGUUCAAAGCUUGUUUGGUUAAUACCAAGAGUCCGUGAAAAAGAAAUUGAUAAGGAAUCUAAUUAAUCGUACCAAGAACCAGCACAGGUGCCCCUAGGUGAAAAACCUAAGGUAUGAGGGAGUAAUCGAGCUAAGGGAACUCGGCAAAUUAGUCCCGUAACUUCGGAAUAAGGGAUUCCUGCGAUUGUUUUCUCAGAAAGCGAUUACAGGACUCAGUGACAAGGAUGGCCCAACUGUUUAACAAAAACGUAGCUUUCCGCAACCCUUAACAGGUUAGUAUGGAAGGUGAAGUCUGCCCAAUGCUAGCAUCCGAAUGUUCUUUUCAAGGAAUUUAAGGACUAGUGAAUGGCGGGAAUAACUAUAAUUCUCUUAAGGUAGCGUAAUACCUUGUCGUUUUAUUGACGACUUGCAUGAAUGGCUUAAUGAGGUUGUCACUGUCCCUAGCUUGAUCCCCCCGAACACACUAUUCCGGUGCAAAGGCCGGAGUCCUCCAGUGGGAAGUAAAGACCCCGUGAAGCUUUACUGUAGUCUAUUAUUGUAGUAUGAAUUUUGUUGUAUAGAGUAGGUGGGAGCUGUUAAGAUUCAGGCGCAAGUUUGAAUAUAGGCGAAAUGUGUAACACCACUUUUCAAAAUUUAUAUUGCUCACUUUUGAAAAAAAAGGACACUAUUAGAUGGACAGUUUGGCUGGGGCGGCACUCUGCUGAAAGUAUAUCAGUAGAGCCCAAAGGUCAGCUCAUCAGGUUUAGAAUUUGCAGAAGUUACCAAAAAUCUUAAAUAUAAGUUACACUUUACUAUUGUUAUAUGUACCAUAUAAAUCCUGUUAAGUUUUAUGGAAAUCCAGAAAUAAAUUUUCAUAAAAAAUUAUGGGAAAAACUUCUAAAGAAAUAUGAAUCAAUAACAAAUAUAGCUAAAGUGUUUAAACUUAAUAUUAGACAACUUUACAAAUGGAAAGAGUUAAAAAAUAACUAUCCAUUAAUUGUUUUAAUAAAUCUGGCUAAGGAUGUUAAUCUAGCAUUUAAGUUGGAAUAUAUUAAAACAAGAAGAUUCAGUGAUAUAAUAAAAAAUCCAAAAUUAGGAUUUCACGAAAGUUGUCAAUUAAUCGAGUUUUUUGGUCAUUUACUUCAUGAUGGUGGAAUAGAUAAACAAUAUGGAGUUCAUUAUACAACACAUUCGAAGAAACUUGCUGACAGAUUUGAAAAUCUUGUUAAAUGCUGUUUUGGAGAAAUGAAUGUAGAAAGAAAAGAAUACAAAAAUAAAACAACACUUUAUUAUCCUGUUGUUUUAGGAUAUAUUCUUAAUGGAACAUUUAAAAUACAUAAAGGAAGUAAAGUUAAGAAUGAUAUAGGAAUUCCUUCUUUUAUUAAAAAUUCGUCAAAAGAAAAAAAAUGGUUGUAUAUAAUAACAUCUUAUGUUUGUGAUGGAAUAAAUAAAAGAGUUGCUAUAACAGCUUCAAGCAAUUCCAUUUAUGAACCUCCACAAUUAUUGAAGGAUAUAAAAUAUAUGUUGAAUAUGCUUGGAAUAAAUAGCGUGGUUAUUAAAGAAUCAUACGCAUAUAAAACUAAAAAAGAAGAAGAGCAUAAAGCAUGGAUUUUAAGAAUAAUUGAUAGAAAAGAAAAAAUCAUAUUUAAUAAAUAUUUAAGAAAGUAUGGUAAUUUCUGCGGCUAAAGAUCCUGAGUAGAGUGCAAGAGCAAAAGCUGGCUUGACUGUGUUCUGACCAAUAAAGAACGCAGAAAGGAAACUUGGGUCUAGCGAACCCCUGUACCCCUUUGUUGGGGGUCAGGGCUGACAGAAAAGCUACUCCGGGGAUAACUGAGUUGUCGCGCCUAAGCGCCCACAGCGACGGCGCGGUUUGCUACGACGAUGUCGGCUCGCCUUAUCCUGGCUGUGCAGAAGCAGCCAAGGGUGGGGGUGUUCACCCAUUAAAAAGGCUCGUGAGCUGGGUUCAAUACGCUGUGAAGCAGUAUGUUUAAUAUCUAGCGGAGGUGUAGUGUGUCUGAGUGGAAGAAUCAUUUAGUACGAGAGGAACGAUGGUUCGGGACCUCUAGUUUAUCUGUUGUCUGACAAGGCAGGCAGAGCAGCCACGUCCCAAGAGAUAAGAGCUGAAAGCAUCUAAGCUCGAAGCUUACCGCGAAAAGAGACACACAUUCAAGGCACUUGCAGAAGACAAGUUUGAUAGGACUGAGAUGUACGCAUCAAGGCAACGAGAUGUUCAGUCUGCAGUUACUAAAAGCCUAAAAAUUUUCUUAA
Molecule: ribosomal RNA, 3835 nt
Filed under: Candidatus Woesearchaeota archaeon
Lineage: Archaea; Nanobdellati; Candidatus Woesearchaeota
Description: 23S ribosomal RNA
Rfam family: Archaeal large subunit ribosomal RNA
Source: RNAcentral